GUCGCGGUGCCAGAGUGGUUAAUGGGUAAGACUCGAAUUCAUUGAAUUUCGGCCAUCUUAUGGCUUCGGCCGCGCAAGUUCGAAUCUUGUCCGCGACG
Molecule: non-coding RNA, 98 nt
Organism: Glutinoglossum americanum
Lineage: Eukaryota; Fungi; Ascomycota; Geoglossomycetes; Geoglossales; Geoglossaceae
Source: the annotation of a GenBank genome assembly